UCAGAGGUGCGGCGAGUGGAGCUAUGGUGCGUUUGUCUCAGUGUCACUUGACAGGAAGGAGGCUUUUCUCCAUGAGCAAGGACAACAAACAAACCAGCCAAAGGAAGAAGUCGAGGGUCGAGCAGAGAAAAGGAUGACUGUUGGCCGAAGAGGGGCUCCUUAGCCGUGUGAAUAUCGGAUAGGGUGAGGAGGGGUGAGGACAUCAGAGAUUGCGGGGAUUCAGAGGGCCUCAUAUCCGAGUGCAGGGAUUCCCCCAGCCUUCUCUGACAAUAGGGCAGGAAGGAAGGAGUGUGCAGGCUGCAGGAGCGGGCCAGGCGGUAACGAGAGACAGGAUAGAGUUCCAUGAGAGACGUGUGGGACAGUGGGGGCACAAGGAGAGAAGAGGAAGAGGAGCAUCUUGGCUAAUAAAGUUUCCAAAACGCCGUGUGUGUGUACUGUAGAUAUUGUAAUACACAGGACCCUGGCAGAUGUCCACUAUAAACAUCCAUGCAUACACACAGACAGACAGACACUUAAAGUACAUGUUGUAUGCUAUUCAGAUUGGUUGUGGCUUGUCUCAAAUUUAAAUGUCUUCAGAUGCAAAAUAAGGGC
This is a long non-coding RNA of Seriola aureovittata, 591 nucleotides long. RefSeq lists it as uncharacterized. Lineage: Eukaryota; Metazoa; Chordata; Actinopteri; Carangiformes; Carangidae. The transcript has 3 exons. The record is from RefSeq and is a predicted model, not a curated record.